GCUGGGCGUGGUGGUGCGCGCCUGUAAUCCCAGCUACUCUGGAGGCUGAGGCAGGAGAAUCGCUUGAACCCGGGAGGCAGAGGUUGCAGUGAGCUGAGAUCUGCCAUUGCACUCCAGCCUGGGUAAUAGAGUGAGACUUUGUCUCAA
RNAcentral lists this signal recognition particle RNA (147 nucleotides) under Homo sapiens (human). RNAcentral's name for it is "Metazoan signal recognition particle RNA". It matches the Rfam family "Metazoan signal recognition particle RNA". Rfam says of the family: The signal recognition particle (SRP) is a universally conserved ribonucleoprotein. It is involved in the co-translational targeting of proteins to membranes. The eukaryotic SRP consists of a 300-nucleotide 7S RNA and six proteins: SRPs 72, 68, 54, 19, 14, and 9. The record is from Rfam by way of RNAcentral. Lineage: Eukaryota; Metazoa; Chordata; Mammalia; Primates; Hominidae.